Non-coding RNA from Podarcis lilfordi (Lilford's wall lizard), 75 nucleotides. The record is from the annotation of a GenBank genome assembly. Lineage: Eukaryota; Metazoa; Chordata; Lepidosauria; Squamata; Lacertidae.
GGCUAGCUCACUUGGUAGAGCAUGAAACUAUUACCGUAAUCUCAGGGCCGUGGGGUUCCAGUCCCAUGUUGGGCA